RNAcentral lists this unclassified non-coding RNA (308 nucleotides) under Hevea brasiliensis (rubber tree). The record is from RNAcentral. Lineage: Eukaryota; Viridiplantae; Streptophyta; Magnoliopsida; Malpighiales; Euphorbiaceae.
AAUAGUCCCCUUUACGAUGCCAUUCUACUGCAGAUACAGUCCUAAAAUGCCUCAAUUUUAUUCCUUCAUGUUUCUCAUCUCGAACCCAGCUCAAACUGGAGCUCUUGUUACCAGAAUCAUCUGCCAGAAUAGACAUCUCAACAUGAAGAAGUUCCUUUACUUUUUUCUGCACUUCUUCAUUGCCCAAUCCUGUGUUCAAAACAAUUACAUCUUGUCCCACAGAGAUCGCCAAGAUAGGAAGCUCGUGCAAAGGACUCCAUGCUACACACUGGACAGCUUCACUAAACUCCCAGAUUUUAAGACAUCUA